GAUUUUGGACAAGGGGGGAGACCGUGACCCAGCCUUCCCGCGUGUAUGAUUUAUGCCACCGGGAUGAAAAGUACUUCUGGCAGAGAAGAAAAGAUACAUCCUACUACGAGGAACUGCUGUCUAUCUCUGCAGAAUAUGCACCGGAUAACGCAGUGUCAGCAUCCGCGGUAAGAUGUAUGCUGCAAGCGUUAAGCGGAAUUACUGGGCGUAAAGCGUGUGUAGGCAGUUCGGAAAGAAAGAUGUGAAAUCCCAGGGCUCAACCUUGGAACUGCAUUUUUAAAUGCCGGGCUAGAGUAUGUCAGAGGGGGGUAGGAUUCCACGUGUAGCAGUGAAAUGCGUAGAUAUGUGGAGGAAUACCGAUGGCGAAGGCAGCCCCCUGGGAUAAUACUGACGCUCAGACACGAAAGCGUGGGGAGCAAACA
This 422-nucleotide ribosomal RNA is filed under the name uncultured bacterium. RNAcentral describes it as "partial 16S ribosomal RNA". It matches the Rfam family "Bacterial small subunit ribosomal RNA", at positions 359 to 774 of the family's 1533-position model. The record is from RNAcentral.